RNAcentral lists this ribosomal RNA (482 nucleotides) under uncultured bacterium. RNAcentral describes it as "partial 16S ribosomal RNA". It matches the Rfam family "Bacterial small subunit ribosomal RNA", at positions 28 to 507 of the family's 1533-position model. The record is from RNAcentral.
GACGAACGCUGGCGGCGUGCUUAACACAUGCAAGUCGAACGAUGAAGAAGAGAAACGCGAACUUCGGUUCAAAUUUCACUUCGGAUUAGUGGCAGACGGGUGAGUAACGCGUGAGCAACCUACCUCUUACAAAGGGAUAGCCUCGGGAAACCGUGAUUAAUACCAUAUGACACAUUCAUAAGGCAUCUUAAGAAUGUUAAAGCUACGGCGGUAAGAGAUGGGCUCGCGUCCCAUUAGCUAGUUGGUGAGGUAACGGCCCACCAAGGCGACGAUGGGUAACCGGCCUGAGAGGGUGAACGGUCACAUUGGAACUGAGACACGGUCCAAACUCCUACGGGAGGCAGCAGUGGGGAAUAUUGCACAAUGGAGGGAACUCUGGUGCAGCGACGCCGCGUGAGCGAUGAAGGAAUUCGUUUCGUAAAGCUCUGUUCUAUGGGAAGAAAAGGACUGUACCAUAGGAGAAAGCCCCGGCUAAAUACGUG